UUUGUUGAAUAUUGUAACCAAGAUGAUGUGGAUAAUGGAAAAUUAGCAUUGCAUGUGUAUUUGGAUGAACCAUAGAAGGACAUGAAGAUGUAUGCUGAUAUGGAUAUCUUGAACUUUUGGAAGUAAAAUAGGCACCGUUUUGUAUAGGAGGUCGUGUAUUGAACAUAUACCGGAAGUUCUAUGCUCCCUUCAAACAUUCAAGCAUUGCUUUGUGCUCGCAAUUGGAUACAUGGUUUUGAACUCCAAGGUCAUGAUGAUGGUGAUGUUUGUGGUGUUGAAGAAAUUGUCCCAGUUCCAUCUGGGUUUUCA
Molecule: long non-coding RNA, 309 nt
Organism: Ipomoea nil (Japanese morning glory)
Lineage: Eukaryota; Viridiplantae; Streptophyta; Magnoliopsida; Solanales; Convolvulaceae
Exons: 3
Source: RefSeq, a predicted model, not a curated record